CAAGCUAUCAAUUCCUCUACUCUUCGUUGUUUUUGCUGCAACAUAUGCUUCGACUUUCAGGACAUACUGAAAUAUUCAUUUUUUCAUUUCUACACCUCACAUUUAUAAUGUUAUUUUUCAGUUGUUGAAGAUUGUUGUUUCUUUUCACAAUAUAUUCAUUUUUGUGAUCACUAGCUCUAUUUGGUUAAUUAUAUGGUGUUGUAUUGUGAACGGGAGAUAUAUUUUAUCUCCCUUAAGCUUUAACGUGUUUGGAUUUGCUAUACUAUGAUUCUGUUAAACACGAUUACUAAUACAUUCUCUCUCAUUCACAAAAUUAAAUAUCUUGAAAAACAUUUAAAAUGAUAUAUUUUCACUUUAUAAACACAGCUAUUAUGAUAUUCAUCCGACGCGGGACUUGUUCGGAAAAAAAAUUUAAUUCACACUACACUAAUUCAAUUGUUUCAAUAUCAUUUCCAACACAGAUAAAUAAAAAUAUUUUUGGCAUAGCAAGACAACCAUAUAUAGAUUGUAAAUACUCCCUGCUUUCUAUUUUUCACAGGAAAAAAUUACUUCAUUUCAAAAAAUGUAUAUAAUGUUCAAUACAUCUAGAGAUAUAAUGAUAAAAAUAUUGAGGGCUAGGUAUAUAUGUAGCUACUCUUGUUGAGGUCUCAACGACUUCAUUUUCUUUCUAUUUAGAGUAUUUAAUAUGAGAGUUUUUAAAAUAAAGAUGAAGUAAAAAUUGACGAUCAUCUAAAAUAGCACAAAUUUUUGUGUUCAGCUUACAUUUUUUUCAUUCAAAGCUUUAUUAUUUAUUUGUUUAUUGUUCAAUUGCAUUUCUGCAAUUUUUUAUAAUUAAAUUAUUUGAAGUGUAUGAACUCAAUCAAUUAAUUUAUUUUUUGAGACUUGGUUUAUGGAGUGCUCUCAUUCUUUGUAUCAUUCAUAACCCCUCAAAAUGUUCAUUGUCUUUGUCUAUAUGAAAAAUUGUAAAUUUUAUAUUAUUUCUAUUUUUAUUUAGAAUAAUAGGAAUAAGAGUAAUGCAAAUUAUGCAAUAUGUUAUUUAGUUUUAUAUUAUAAAGGAAUAGUAAAAUUACAUUAAAAGGUAUUGUGUUUAUAACACGACUCGCAAUUCCCGUCCCAAACUUUGUUCGAGGGAGAUUUUCUCCUCGAUCUCGAUCUCUAAAAGAAAAUAUGUAGACCAAUGUCUUGACAUUGAAAACAAGAAAAUAACAUCAUAAAAAUAAGUGUAUGCAUCAUAUAUUGAAAUUAAUUAAUAUGUUUCUCCUAAUCUGUGCAUCUUGUGUAUAUCUCAGCAGCCGAUUCACCAGCGGGAUCUUCUAAUUCUAAUCCAUCAGGUACACAAGAUUCAUCAUGUUGAGGAAGUCAUAUUUUUUAUCCAAUUUUAUUGUCUUUGUUAAGCUAAUUAACUAUUGAAUUUGUCACUAAAUUGUAGGAACCGAAAAUUCCAUCAAGCUAUCAAUUCCUCUACUCUUCGUUGUUUUUGCUGCAACAUAUGCUUCGACUUUCAGGACAUACUGAAAUAUUCAUUUUUUCAUUUCUACACCUCACAUUUAUAAUGUUAUUUUUCAGUUGUUGAAGAUUGUUGUUUCUUUUCACAAUAUAUUCAUUUUUGUGAUCACUAGCUCUAUUUGGUUAAUUAUAUGGUGUUGUAUUGUGAACGGGAGAUAUAUUUUAUCUCCCUUAAGCUUUAACGUGUUUGG
RNAcentral lists this long non-coding RNA (1697 nucleotides) under Cicer arietinum (chickpea). RNAcentral describes it as "long non-coding RNA (CARI_LNC001062)". The record is from RNAcentral. Lineage: Eukaryota; Viridiplantae; Streptophyta; Magnoliopsida; Fabales; Fabaceae.